CCAGGACGACAUUUUGCAUCGACCAAACGACGAUCGCCUCGAUACGCUGCUGGAACAUCCGUAUAUCCGGUGUCCGUUAAACGCGGACUCUUCCCCCAGAAGAGAGAGUCUCUUCUCCUUCGUCGAUCGAGGAAGCGGGGACAAUAAAUAAUUCAGGAACAAGUUGAAACGCCAGAGUCACCCACCUGGUCCAGACUGAUGCGCCUCUCGGUGAUUCGCAAACAUCUCCCUCGUCGAAGAAGAGCCGGGAAAUCGCCUGGACGCUGAACCAACUCGAGAAUCCACGGGCUUCUCCGUAAAUUCUUGGUCGAAAGGAAAACAGAACACGGCAGCCAAGAUGCCGCGCUGUUACAUGGUGAAGAAGGCCCUGUGCAACAAGUAUAUAAGCAGCGUUGCCAGAGGAUUCGAAAGCUGGGGUCGUGGAAGGAGCACGCCAUCGCCAACCACCAUGCAGAUACCGGUCUCGCCCAUAGAAGGGAGCGUUGCACCCCCUGUUGCUCAAGAGUACCUGAGCACGCAAUCUCAGGACACGAGAGCAACGACAGGAACGAAGACCCUCGAGCAGGAGGUUUCCAGGGAGAGGCUGAACGAGCCCAGCGACGCUAACGCAACGUCACCGAAUGCAACGAGCAACGGCACCAUCUUCGCGACGGAACCUCCAGCAACGGCGUGGACGGAGACGACGACGGUGAUCACCUGCACCACUGGCUCGUCCUCGAUAAUCAUCCCACCUGCAACGGAGUCCAGCACCGAGAGCACGAUGGUGACGUCCACGUUCGCGUCUCCCAGAUCACCGUCCAGACCAGUUACGGAGCAGCAAAUGAGCGUGCUUCAUCAUCUGCCACCCGGAGAGCCAUCUCCUCCUUCGAGUACCGCUACACCGUAUCACCUGGAAGAAACCACGAAUCAUUCGACGUCCGAGUCGAGGAUAGGGUCCGAUUGUAAUGUAGUGGUUACCAAUUACGUGUCAUCGAUGUUCAAGGACCGUUCUGCGGCCGAGACAGAAGCUGCCCACGAUCUGUUAGAGUUGUCCAGGUCUCUGCCACCCUUACCACCGCCCAGUGUUGCCAUCGGACCACAAAGCGUCGUGGAGACACCUGCGACCGAUAUUCAAGAGAUGACGGUCUACCAACCAGACCAACCGAUCUACCAAGUGAACACCAUCGACCUCGCCAGCUCUACCGUGUACACCCAUCAUCAGCAACAGCAACCACCCACCGCGAGCAUCAUCUACGAGCCCAGCGCGACGAUAGUUCAGCAAACGGGCAGCGUGUUCAUCCCCCUGUCGCCGGUGCAGGAGAUCCUGCUGACCUACAGCACACCGUCCAUCCCGUGCACGCCGAUCGUUGCCCAGCAACCGCCGCAACCGCCACCGCUGCAGAAACAGCCGCUUCAGCAACACCAGCCCAUCGAGACUGCGCCACCCCUCACGCCCCCUACCUCCGAGUGCAGCAGCGACAUCGAGAAUAACAAUCCCAACUCGCAGCCCAGCCAGAAGGACAAAGAAGUGCAGACAGUGAUCGAGCAGACCGAAGUAAAGCCAGCUAGUUACACCUAUGAUACCCUGUUGGUGGCCGAUGGAAGGUCGAAGAACAAGAAGAGCGCGCCCAGUCAGAAGAACCAGGAGACUGAACCGAUCGAAGCACCGGAGACCUCGAAGAUCGGACGAUACGUCUGCUGCGAGUGCGGCAAGCAGUACGCAACAUCGUCGAACUUAUCGCGGCAUAAGCAGACGCACCGCAGCAUCGAUUCGCAGUCCGCAAAAAAGUGCAUCCAUUGUGGCAAAGCAUACGUGAGUAUGCCAGCACUGGCGAUGCACGUGUUGACGCACAAGCUGACGCACAGUUGCGGAGUCUGCGGUAAGAUGUUCUCCAGGCCUUGGUUGCUGCAAGGUCAUCUAAGAAGUCACACCGGGGAGAAGCCUUACGGAUGCGCCCACUGCGGUAAGGCGUUCGCUGAUCGCUCGAAUCUUCGUGCCCACAUGCAGACACACUCGGCGGAUAAGAACUACGAAUGUCACAAAUGUCAUAAGUCGUUCGCGCUGAAAUCCUACCUGAACAAACACCUGGAAUCUGCCUGCCAGAGGGAGAACGACGAGAGCAGCAACGACGUCGAUGCGCCGCAGUAACCAUACCCCCUUUUGGUGGAUGCUUGUCGACGCUGGGCUCUUUGAUCGCCAUUGGCAUGUACUAAAAGAAUUUCAAAAACUUCUCGACGACGCAACAUUGUGGUGCAUCGACGCUGAUGCGAUAACUUGAAUGGUGAUUCCUUCAACUCCCUCGAAAACUUGAAAACCAACGUGAAUCGAAGUUCGAAACUACACGGGAAAAGGAACACACGAAGCAAGACACAAUCGAGCGUUUCUUGCCGUCGUCGUUGACGCCACAGGUGAGCCUUCGUCUUUCGAACAGAUCGACAUCUUCAGCGUCGUACAUCCAACGUAAUCUGGGUAAGCAAACGGUCCAGAAACGCGACCGAUUAAAUCUGCGACCAAGCUAAUUAAACGAAAGAAGAUGAAAUACUUUAAAAUCAGAGGUUGACCAUGAAUUAAGAAAACAUGGUACGGAUUUUCGUGUAACUAUGAAUGUUAGCAGCGAAUUUUAACCCCUUGGAUAACGUGGAGUUACAUAACGAUUAAUUUGUUAGGUUUCGGAGAUUUGUAUGAAAGCUAUUUGGCUAUGAAACAUAUAAUUUAAAUUUACAUUAACUGCGAUUUUAUUGAAAUUAAAAAUCACUUAAUAUUAUUAUUAGUACUACAAGAUUAAACUUAUAACAAAGUAGUUAUUUGAAAUAUAAAUCGCAAUAUAAAGUCGCCAAGGGUUAAAAUUCGCAAUCGGAAAGUAAAGAACAUACAGGGAUACAGUUUAGGGCUUAAAAGGAAACAGCGAGUUUCUUCGCAUCGAUCGCGCACGAUGCGAUUCAAACGGCAUUCCUCUUGUCCCUCCGCACUCGACGGAACUCCGUUCACCGUCUGGUAAUCGAUAUUCAAAACUCGAGGGAAACGAAACGGCACUCGUUCCGUUCCCAAUGCUCGCUGCCGAUUAAGGAUCUGCAGGGCUUUUGGGCAAACGCGGCUACAGCCGAACCGAUGCAAUACUAUCGAGGGACCAUCAAUUUGUGAGUAAAAUUCAUUUCGUAACGAGAACCGAGUCGAGUCAAAGAGCUUUUUCGAGGGCGGGCGUAAACAGCUCCACGUUUACAAGCUUUUAUCGUUAGCGACCUGAUCCUCCUCUUCGAUACUGUAAACUUUUUCCAAACUUGCACACGGUACCUUUUAUCCUGUCUCGUUGAUUUUAUGGGAGUUCUAGAUCCAUUUGUUUUACCUGCAACUUAGUUGUUUGUUCCAAGUUAAAUGACCGAUUUAAGGCGUUCAAUUUUAUCGAGUAGUUAAUAAGUCUUUCACUUUAUUCUAAGACAUCUUUAUAAACAUUCGCUGUUUUAAUUUAGUUGUGUUCUUUGAAUAAGUAGUUCAAGCAGAAGAUUUUUCAUGCAGUUCAAGCUUUCAUCCUUUAUAUCAAACGUUAAUUCACCAGUUUAUCUUUCUCGAUAGUUCACUGUAUUCACUGUAUGUAUGUCAUCUCAAAUGACCAAAAUAAGCUUAAAUAAAACACUGCGUUAACGCUACUUUUCAACGCAUGCUUGUGAACUGCAUAGAAUAUUUCUCGUCGUCGAUAAAAGAGUGACACGGUUGACAAAAUGGAGUCAUGAUUCGAAACGGUGCAGUUGCGAUGACCGGUUUCGCGAAAACUUUUCGCCCGUUCCAAUUUCCUCGAGACGUCUGGGAUGCGUCGUUUUUCCGAAAGUUCUAUCGACGCCCUCGGCGUACAAUACAGGUGGAGAGGGGCAGAGGGCACACGUCGAAAGUUUUCAUCAACAUUUCACGUGAACUGGACCACCUGUUGAAUGCAGGAAUGACCAUUCGGUGGCGAAAGGGUCGCUCGUUCUGCUUCCCUGAAUUAUAGAACGUCCUCCUGUAAUUUCCUCGUUGUUAAAUACGCGAGUUGGAUCGCGAUUUCGCGAUUCUCGCGCUUUGAAUCGACCAAUUCGAACGUUCCUCGUUCUUCUUUUCUUCUUUCUCCAAACGAUUCUAGUCGGAAGCUUUCGAUCGCUGUGGCGAA
RNAcentral lists this unclassified non-coding RNA (4118 nucleotides) under Megachile rotundata (alfalfa leafcutting bee). Its description in RNAcentral is "zinc finger protein GLI2-like, transcript variant X2". Lineage: Eukaryota; Metazoa; Arthropoda; Insecta; Hymenoptera; Megachilidae. The record is from RNAcentral.